AGCUCUCUUCGGAGAGUGCAUAGAGUGGCGCACGGGGUGAGUAACACGUAAGUAAUCUACCCUCGAGUGGGGAAUAACGUUCGGAAACGAACGCUAAUACCGCAUAAUGCAGCGGCACCGCAAGGUGACAGUUGUUAAAGGAGUAAUUCGCUUGAGGAGGAGCUUGCGGCAGAUUAGCUUGUUGGUAAGGUAACGGCUUACCAAGGCUACGAUCUGUAACCGGUCUUAGAGGACGGUCGGUCACACUGACACUGAAUAACGGGUCAGACUCCUACGGGAGGCAGCAGUCGGGAAUUUUGGGCAAUGGGCGAAAGCCUGACCCAGCAACGCCGCGUGAAGGAUGAAGUAUUUCGGUAUGUAAACUUCGAAAGAAUAGGAAGAAUAAAUGACGGUACUAUUUAUAAGGUCCAGCUAACUACGUGCCAGCAGCCGCGGUAAUACGUAGGGACCAAGCGUUGUUCGGAUUUACUGGGCGUAAAGGGCGCGUAGGCGGUGCGGUAAGUCACUUGUGAAAUCUCUGAGCUUAACUCAGAACGGCCAAGUGAUACUGCAGUACUAGAGUGCAGAAGGGGCAAUCGGAAUUCUUGGUGUAGCGGUGAAAUGCGUAGAUAUCAAGAGGAGCACCUGAGGUGAAGACGGGUUGCUGGGCUGACACUGACGCUGAGGCGCGAAAGCCAGGGGAGCAAACGGGAUUAGAUACCCCGGUAGUCCUGGCCCUAAACGAUGAAUACUUGGUGUCUGGAGUCUUUAAUGCUCCGGGUGCCGUCGCUAACGUUUUAAGUAUUCCGCCUGGGGAGUACGCUCGCAAGGCU
RNAcentral lists this ribosomal RNA (812 nucleotides) under uncultured bacterium. RNAcentral describes it as "bacterial SSU rRNA". It matches the Rfam family "Bacterial small subunit ribosomal RNA", at positions 71 to 895 of the family's 1533-position model. The record is from RNAcentral.